Molecule: transfer RNA, 78 nt
Filed under: Didemnum vexillum
Lineage: Eukaryota; Metazoa; Chordata; Ascidiacea; Aplousobranchia; Didemnidae
Description: tRNA-Phe
Source: RNAcentral
AUGAAAUAAUAUAAUAUUAUAAAUUAUUAUAAUAAUUUGAAAAAUUAUAGAUGUUAUUUUAACUGUAUUAAUAAUAUG